CGGCAUGCCUUACACAUGCAAGUCGAACGGCAGCACGGGAGCAAUCCUGGUGGCGAGUGGCGAACGGGUGAGUAAUAUAUCGGAACGUGCCCAGUCGUGGGGGAUAACGUAGCGAAAGCUACGCUAAUACCGCAUACGAUCUAUGGAUGAAAGCGGGGAUCGCAAGACCUCGCGCGAUUGGAGCGGCCGAUAUCAGAUUAGGUAGUUGGUGAGGUAAAGGCUCACCAAGCCGACGAUCUGUAGCUGGUCUGAGAGGACGACCAGCCACACUGGGACUGAGACACGGCCCAGACUCCUACGGGAGGCAGCAGUGGGAAUUUUGGACAAUGGGCGCAAGCCUGAUCCAGCAAUGCCGCGUGCAGGAUGAAGGCCUUCGGGUUGUAAACUGCUUUGUACGGAACGAAACGGUGAGCUCUAAUACAGUUUGCUAAUGACGGUACCGUAAGAAUAAGCACCGGCUAACUACGUG
This 469-nucleotide ribosomal RNA is filed under the name uncultured bacterium. Its description in RNAcentral is "bacterial SSU rRNA". It matches the Rfam family "Bacterial small subunit ribosomal RNA", at positions 40 to 507 of the family's 1533-position model. The record is from RNAcentral.